GUACUUCUACCCGGUUCUCCAGUCAACCCCUGCUUGAUCAUCGUUGCUCCUUACCCGGUCCACUCACCUCCGUCCUCCGCUCCGCCAGCUGGGCUCGCCACCCUACCCUCUCCCCUCGGACCUCUUCCAUGGCGUCCUCCCGGCUCCUCCCCGUGCCUCCUUGCUUCCUCGGUCCCCAGCGCCCCUGGCUCCCUUGUCUCAGUCUCCUCGGUUCCCCGUGCUCGUGUUUCCCCGGCGUCCGUCGCUCCCUCACCUCCACUCCCUCAACCCCGUAUCCCCUUCAAUAAAGCCUGUUCUUCCCCAGA
Micropterus dolomieu (smallmouth bass) is the source of this 305-nucleotide long non-coding RNA. RefSeq lists it as uncharacterized. The record is from RefSeq and is a predicted model, not a curated record. The transcript has 2 exons. NCBI's taxonomy places the organism in Eukaryota, Metazoa, Chordata, Actinopteri, Centrarchiformes, Centrarchidae.